Suricata suricatta (meerkat) is the source of this 3020-nucleotide long non-coding RNA. RefSeq lists it as uncharacterized. The transcript is spliced from 2 exons. The record is from RefSeq and is a predicted model, not a curated record. Lineage: Eukaryota; Metazoa; Chordata; Mammalia; Carnivora; Herpestidae.
AUCCUUCCUCCUUGGGAAGCUGUUGUGCCAGUCUGGACCAAGUUGCUCCCAUCUGUGGUGGGUACAUCCUGCCGUGGCCCCAUAGUUCCUGCCCUGAGCCCCCGGAGUUUUGCAUUACCUCCUGCUCGUGAAUGGGGGUGGGACCUGUGGCCUGCUUCUAAUCAACAGAAGAUGGCAAAGGUGAAGAGAUUUUGUAGGUGCGGUUAAGGUCCCUAAUCAAUCGACUUUGCAUUAAUCAAAAGGAAGACAAUGCUGGUGGGUCUGACCUAAUCAGGGGAGUCCUUUCUAUAAGGCUCUGGGCCUUCCUGAAGUCAGAGACUCCAAGUAGCAGAGACUUAUGGCUUGGAAGAAGCCAGUGCCCAUGACUCCUGCAGCCUCACCCACUCCUCACAGAGGAGAAAUGAAUUCUGCCACAAACCUGAGGAAGCCUGGAAGGGGAUCCUUCUCGAGUUGGGCCUCCAAAUGGGAAUGCAACCUGACCUUCCCCUUGAUCGAGCCUGUGAGGCCCUUCGCUGAGAACGAGAUCUAUCUAUAGACCACAAGGAUGGACCUCGAUGGCAUUCUGCUGAAAUAAGUCAGAGAAGGACAAAUACCGGAUGCUCUCACCUGUAUGUGGAAUCUGCAAACGGAACUCAGAACCAGCGUGCAGGAUGGUCCCCGGGGCUCCGGGGAGUUGGGAACAUACGCUGUUCGGACACAGACUUGGAGCCAGAAAAGAAUAGGUCCUGGAGAUCUGAGACAGCACAGCGGGGCAGUGCAGCGAUGGCGCACCGCGUGCUUGAGUGGCCAGACCAGACCUCAGGCGAGCCCGCGAUAGAAAUGAUGGUGACGUGAGGUGGUAAGGAGCUGGCGAGGCUCCAGGCUCGUCACCCGGCAGCGUCACAGAAGGUAUCAAUCAGCACGUACAUCUGAAUGUACACAGUGUUAUAUGUAAAUUCCGUCUAAAAACCAAAACCAAGUCUGGUCCUUCGAGGUCAGCGAGCUGGAGAAGCCACAUGGGGGCGCUGUGGUCCAGCGUUCCAGCAGAGCCCAGCCUGGCCGCCAGGGUCCGGGGCACGACCCUCCAGACCAGCCGGCGCCAGCUGAGGUUCACUGAGUGGCCUCAGCUGACGCCACGUGGAACAGAAGAAGUACCCAGUUGGGCUCUGCCUGAAUUUCUAACUGUGGAAUCUGUGAAAUAUAAUAAAAUUAUUUUUGUCUGUGCUGCUAAGUUUGGGUUAGUUAUGCAGCAGUAGUCUUCAGAACACGGCCUCUUUAAAGUAGGGCCAAGCUGGUGGUGUAAGUCCUAGAAGGCGGGGGACGCUGGGGACAGCAGAAACCUGCUCCGUGUCAAGGUGACAGCCACUGUGGGGAGGCACAGCAUAAGGGGCUGUGAAUCUCAAGCAGGCACUCCGGGUUCAAGUCCUGGCCCAGUCAGCUGGGCCACAAUGGGUGUGGUUUUCUCAACCACAUGGCCUCAGCUUUCCCAUCUGUAAAAUGGGGUUACUGAGAACUGCAAAUUUGACAAUAAGGUAGAGACGUCACAAAUCAAUGGCCAAGGGUUCAAAUCCAGCCUGCAAGCGUGUCUUUCUGAGACUCUCCUUGUUUGAUGAUUUGGAUCCAGUUUAGACACUGGGAGACUUUGUGGCUUUUCUUGCAAUCACGUGGUCGUAACAGCCGCCACAGUCUGGACGGCAUUCCAAGGCUCUGCACGCGGGAUUCCUGUGACCUCUGUCUCACCGUCGUCCUCCGUGGGGCUCUGCCAGUAGUGAUCCAGCGAGCAAGGAGGCCGCCCACGCGGGACCCACGAGAAAAUGUUCCCUCCGGCUCCUGCUGUGGCAAGACCCACCCCUGCCCGGAUUUAGGCACAGCCCUGGGGAGAGGGGGGACCCCACACGUGACUGACAUCGAUGUCGUGUCCCCAGGAGAGAGGGUUCCUGGGGGAAAUUCGUGUUGGUAAUGGAAGAAUCAAGUCGAUUUUGGCCAAGUCGGGCAUGCAUGGCCUGAGGCUGGACGGAAGCCGUCGUUGAGCGUGAGUGCCCAGGUCGAUGGCGACACCUGAACCUGCAGCUCGAUGGAUCCGCCAAGUCCCUGCAGAGAAGAUGCCGGCAGGCUCCCUGCUUUCACAGACGGCAGACUGAGGCGCAGAGGUGACCUGCCCGGGUCAGGCGUCAGCGUGCGGGACGGAAGUGGGAUGAGGGCCCCGGUGGUGCGGCUGCAGCGCUGCCUCAGGCCCCCCGGUGGCCCCCUGCCCGGCGCUAUUCCCGGGAGACCCGGGACUGUGUCCUCUGUGGCGUGGACAGUGGGCCCCCUGCAGGGCGGAAGCCUGGGGUGGCCUGGAGUGUGGGUCUCUGCCUGCAGACUGUCUGUGCUGAGGACCACCUGUGGGGACCAGAGACAGAACAGGCGUCUGCGGGAGGGACUGGACACAUGCCCCCCUCCCACCGGCCUGGGCCUGAGGAGCUGACGUGCGUCACACAGGCUCGGGCUGGCAGGGUCCCUGCAGUUCCAGUAAUGACUGCCCAGGUCCCCUCUGUGCGCUGACGGUGGAGACAGACGCCACUUGUGCGGGCUGUCCCGGUAGGCGGGGCUCGCGGCCCCACUGCGGGGCCUGCUGCAUGGUCCCGCCGUGACAGGGAGGCGUAGGACCCGGGCAGCAGGGUCUGGCUCUGUCCGUCUGGGCCCGCGGCUGGCUGGAGCUAAUAUGAGCCCACGGGGCCAUGGCACUGACGCUGUGCCAGGCACUGUUCCAAGGGCACCGUCCGGAGGACACGCCAGGGACAGAGACACCAUCAUUGUCCCCGUUGUGCAGAUGGAGACGGCGGCACUGGGUUCAGGGCUCUGGCCACAAGGGGGCGCACUUGCGCCGGCUCCAGAUGCUGGCCUUGACCUCCCCGAACCUGUUGGAAGAUCUCCCAGGAGGAUGGAGAGAAUCGCCUUGAGAUAAACCUCAAUGUGUGGGCCCGUUUUGGGGGUAGUUCUCGAAUGUCUAGGUUGAUUAAAAAAACAAAUCAAACCCCACUAAAAAAGAUCAAUUGCCG